This 253-nucleotide ribosomal RNA is filed under the name uncultured bacterium. RNAcentral's name for it is "partial 16S ribosomal RNA". It matches the Rfam family "Bacterial small subunit ribosomal RNA", at positions 524 to 776 of the family's 1533-position model. The record is from RNAcentral.
UACGGGGGGUGCAAGCGUUAAUCGGAAUUACUGGGCGUAAAGCGCACGCAGGCGGUCUGUCAAGUCGGAUGUGAAAUCCCCGGGCUCAACCUGGGAACUGCAUUCGAAACUGACAGGCUAGAGUCUUGUAGAGGGGGGUAGAAUUCCAGGUGUAGCGGUGAAAUGCGUAGAGAUCUGGAGGAAUACCGGUGGCGAAGGCGGCCCCCUGGACAAAGACUGACGCUCAGGUGCGAAAGCGUGGGGAGCAAACAGG